This 375-nucleotide ribosomal RNA is filed under the name uncultured bacterium. RNAcentral describes it as "bacterial SSU rRNA". It matches the Rfam family "Bacterial small subunit ribosomal RNA", at positions 524 to 898 of the family's 1533-position model. The record is from RNAcentral.
UACGGAGGGUGCAAGCGUUAAUCGGAAUUACUGGGCGUAAAGCGCACGCAGGCGGUCUGUCAAGUCGGAUGUGAAAUCCCCGGGCUCAACCUGGGAACUGCAUCCGAAACUGGCAGGCUAGAGUCUUGUAGAGGGGGGUAGAAUUCCAGGUGUAGCGGUGAAAUGCGUAGAGAUCUGGAGGAAUACCGGUGGCGAAGGCGGCCCCCUGGACAAAGACUGACGCUCAGGUGCGAAAGCGUGGGGAGCAAACAGGAUUAGAUACCCUGGUAGUCCACGCCGUAAACGAUGACGACUUGGAGGUUGUGGCGUUGAGGCGUGGCUGCCGGAGCUAACGCGUUAAGUCGACCGCCUGGGGAGUACGGCCGCAAGGUUGAA